CUAGCAACGGAGAGUGAAGAGGGAAAAGCUCAAAUUUAAAAUCUGGCGGUCUACGGCCGUCCGAGUUGUAAUCUAGAGAAGUGUUUUCCGCGCUGGACCGUGUACAAGUCCUUUGGAACAAGGCGUCAUAGAGGGUGAGAAUCCCGUCUACGACACGGACUGCCAAGCGCUUUGUGAUACACUCUCAACGAGUCGAGUUGUUUGGGAAUGCAGCUCAAAAUGGGUGGUAAAUUCCAUCUAAAGCUAAAUAUGGGCGAAAGACCGAUAGCGAACAAGUACCGUGAGGGAAAGAUGAAAAGCACUUUGGAAAGAGAGUUAAACAGUACGUGAAAUUGUUGAAAGGGAAACGCUUGAAGUCAGUCGCGUCUUCAGAAAUUCAGCUGGGCUUCUGCCCUGUGUACUUUUCUGUGGGACGGGCCAGCAUCAGUUUCGGCUGCCAGAAAAAGGUGGGAGGAAGGUGGCACCUCCGGGUGUGUUAUAGCCUCCGAUCGUAUGUGGCAGCUGGGACUGAGGACCGCAGCACGCCUUCAUGGCCGGGGUUCGCCCACGUAACGUGCUUAGGAUGCUGGCGUAAUGGCUUUAAGCGACCCGUCUUGAAACACGGACCAAGGAGUCUAACAUGCCUGCGAGUAUUUGGGUGGCAAACCCAUAUGCGCAAUGAAAGUGAACGGUUGGGACUUCUGUCAUGGAAGGCACCGACGCCCGGACCAGACCUAUUGUGACGGAUCCGAGGUAGAGCAUGUAUGUUGGGACCCGAAAGAUGGUGAACUAUGCCUGAGUAGGGUGAAGCCAGAGGAAACUCUGGUGGAGGCU
This 813-nucleotide ribosomal RNA is filed under the name Geastrum cf. triplex A KH-2011. RNAcentral describes it as "LSU rRNA". It matches the Rfam family "Eukaryotic large subunit ribosomal RNA", at positions 80 to 875 of the family's 3401-position model. The record is from RNAcentral. Lineage: Eukaryota; Fungi; Basidiomycota; Agaricomycetes; Geastrales; Geastraceae.